UGGUCUACCAGAGAGGGCACAUGUGCCUCAAUUGUCUUAUAGCAUAGCGACUCAUUAUCCUUCCACCGCUGGUGGCGGGCGGUACUCGCUGCUCUGUGAAGCCAGCCUCACGCAAUGUCCGCCACUUUAGGUGUUGGGAUGCAAAGACUUUCGCCAAGGCAUCCGAAACCCACUACACAACUUGGAAUGGGUGGUCCACUGUUUGUAGCACUAGACCCAGGCACAUGCACCACAAUUGACAUCCACACUACCUUAUUGCCCCGCUCGGGUUACAAGCAAUCGCUACUUGCUCAGCGAGUGAGGGGGUUCAAGACUACCUAUUUAAGGUGGUGUUGUACUCUAUGAGCCGGCGGUGUGGUAUUUACCAACUACAAAUAGUGUCAUGCAUGUGACUUGCUAGUUGACAAUGUCUGUUGUCAAGCUAGGUGUGGGCUAUGGAUGAAGCACAUUAGGAUAUAGUAGGCCUAUUUUGUUUUUUGUUGUUUUUGGGCCACUAUGGACUUUAUGUUGAUGUUGUGAAAUUUUUUUCUUGUGUUUCCUCUUCCUACGAUGUGGAAAGUGGGUGCGUCAGAGAAGAAAGAAAGAGUGGCUAGCAUUGAUUUUACGUCAUACCAUUGAGAACACUAAUCAGAAGCAGAAGCAACAAUAUUUCAUACAUAUACAACACUUGUAAUCCAUAUAAACAACAUUCCUUUAAAAUAUAAUAUAAACCACAUGAUUUAUAUCCUGGGUCGGCUAUCUCCACAAAGGGCAAGAAAACGCUCCAAGUUUGUAGUAUAGCACUAAAAGUGUCGAUUCUCACGAUUUCUUCCCGACAUAUACAAACUAGACAGUAAUCACAUAAAAUAAAGAAAUAUGUGUUAACACGAACUUAUAGCAUGUAUUUCAACAUAUAGAUUUUUGAUUAUUAUGGUAGAUUAUAUAAAAUAGGGGUUCCCGAAGAAAUACAUAAAAACAAGAGCAUUAAAAUUUCCUUUUCAGAUCUGGCUAUCUGGUAAAAGGAGUUGGAGUAACUGAGUUUCCAAAUUUGUGACGUAGCUCUAUAGAAGGAAUAUAAAUACGUUGGAAAAAUUCUAUAAGGAAAGGUUUAAUACAAGUAGGGCUAAGAAAAACUCAAUGAGGCUUUGGUCGCAUGGUCACAAAACUUGAGACAAGAAACACGAAGACACCAAGGUAAUUAGUAUGAGAGUUUUCCAAAUUUGGUGUCUUGAUGUAGAAAAAAUAAAUAUAUGACAAAUUUGUUUUUUCGCAAGGCAUGGAUAAAUAAGUGGGGGUGAGCAAUAAAUUUCAUCCUAGAUUUAGAAGGAAUAAAUAUAUCACUAAAUACAUUUUUUCACAAUGCCAAAUUAAUCAGGUGGGAGCGAGAAACAAUUGUAGCGAGGCUAGGUUGUACUAGCCCAAAACUACAUACAACAGAGGAAAAAUGAAGAAAAUGAUGGUCUACCAAAUAUGGCGCAUGAGCCUUAAGGUGCACCUAGAGGGAAGUAGAAGAAAUAAAUAUAUAAUAGCAUAUGUUUUUCGCAAUGCAUGGUAAAGUGUAGAUGUGCUCUAACUGGGCUUAGAUUGCAGCGACACAUUAUGCAUCUACAAGGCUUGGUUGCACAUGGAAAAAGAUACAAAAAGAAAUGUAGACGCAGGACCGGGAGAAAAACAUUCAAUGAGACGUGAUUGCACGGACAUAGAACUAGAUAUAAGACAAGAGUUAAAGAAAAAUAAAGGAACUAAAUUUUCUUCUGCACACUAAGCAUGAAUGGAGUUGUAGUAUCUGAGAUCAAAAUUUAAUUUAUUCCAAGAUGCAGAACAAAAAUUUGAUACUCGUAAUGGUUACAUAGGAGCAAAAGUAGAUAAGAAAAAUAGCAAAAAGAUAGUGGUCUACCAGAGAGGGCACAUGUGCCUCAAUUGGCCUAUAGCAUAGCGACUCAUUAUCCUUCCACCGCUGGUGGCGGGCGGUACUCGCUGCUCUGUGAAGCCAGCCUCACACAAUGUCCGCCACUUUAGGUGUUGGGAUGCAAAGGCUUUCGCCAAGGCAUCCGAAACCCACUACACAACUUGGAAUGGGUGGUCCACUGUUUGUAGCACUAGACCCAGGCACAUGCACCACAAUUGACAUCCACACUACCUUAUUGCCCCGCUCGGGUUACAAGCAAUCGCUACUUGCUCAGCGAGUGAGGGGGUUCAAGACUACCUAUUUAAGGUGGUGUUGUACUCUAUGAGCCGGCGGUGUGGUAUUUACCAACUACAAAUAGUGUCAUGCAUGUGACUUGCUAGUUGACAAUGUCUGUUGUCAAGCUAGGUGUGGGCUAUGGAUGAAGCACAUUAGGAUAUAGUAGGCCUAUUUUGUUUUUUGUUGUUUUUGGGCCACUAUGGACUUUAUGUUGAUGUUGUGAAAUUUUUUUCUUGUGUUUCCUCUUCCUACGAUGUGGAAAGUGGGUGCGUCAGAGAAGAAAGAAAGAGUGGCUAGCAUUGAUUUUACGUCAUACCAUUGAGAACACUAAUCAGAAGCAGAAGCAACAAUAUUUCAUACAUAUACAACACUUGUAAUCCAUAUAAACAACAUUCCUUUAAAAUAUAAUAUAAACCACAUGAUUUAUAUCCUGGGUCGGCUAUCUCCACAAAGGGCAAGAAAACGCUCCAAGUUUGUAGUAUAGCACUAAAAGUGUCGAUUCUCACGAUUUCUUCCCGACAUAUACAAACUAGACAGUAAUCACAUAAAAUAAAGAAAUAUGUGUUAACACAAACUUAUAGCAUGUAUUUCAACAUAUAGAUUGUUGAUUAUUAUGGUAGAUUAUAUAAAAUAGGGGUUCCCGAAGAAAUACAUAAAAACAAGAGCAUUAAAAUUUCCUUUUCAGAUCUGGCUAUCUGGUAAAAGGAGUUGGAGUAACUGAGUUUCCAAAUUUGUGACGUAGCUCUAUAGAAGGAAUAUAAAUACGUUGGAAAAAUUCUAUAAGGAAAGGUUUAAUACAAGUAGGGCUAAGAAAAACUCAAUGAGGCUUUGGUCGCAUGGUCACAAAACUUGAGACAAGAAACACGAAGACACCAAGGUAAUUAGUAUGAGAGUUUUCCAAAUUUGGUGUCUUGAUGUAGAAAAAAUAAAUAUAUGACAAAUUUGUUUUUUCGCAAGGCAUGGAUAAAUAGGUGGGGGUGAGCAAUAAAUUUCAUCCUAGAUUUAGAAGGAAUAAAUAUAUCACUAAAUAUGUUUUUUCACAAUGCCAAGUUAAUCAGGUGGGAGCGAGAAACAAUUCUAGCGAGGCUAGGUUGUACUAGCCCAAAACUACAUACAACAGAGGAAAAAUGAAGAAAAUGAUGGUCUACCAAAUAUGGCGCAUGAGCCUUAAGGUGCACCUAGAGGGAAGUAGAAGAAAUAAAUAUAUAAUAGCAUAUAUUUUUCGCAAUGCAUGGUAAAGUGUAGAUGUGCUCUAACUGGGCUUAGAUUGCAGCGACACAUUAUGCAUCUACAAGGCUUGGUUGCACAUGGAAAAAGAUACAGAAAGAAAUGUAGACGCAGGACCGGGAGAAAAACAUUCAAUGAGACGUGAUUGCACAGACAUAGAACUAGAUAUAAGACAAGAGUUAAAGAAAAAUAAAGGAACUAAAUUUUCUUCUGCACACUAAGCAUGAAUGGAGUUGUAGUAUCUGAGAUCAAAAUUUAAUUUAUUCCAAGAUGCAGAACAAAAAUGUGAUACUCGUAAUGGUUACAUAGGAACAAAAGUAGUUAAGAAAAAUAGCAAAAAGAUAGUGGUCUACCAGAGAGGGCACAUGUGCCUCAAUUGGCCUAUAGCAUAGCGACUCAUUAUCCUUCCACCGCUGGUGGCGGGCGGUACUCGCUGCUCUGUGAAGCCAGCCUCACGCAAUGUCCGCCACUUUAGGUGUUGGGAUGCAAAGGCUUUCGCCAAGGCAUCCGAAACCCACUACACAACUUGGAAUGGGUGGUCCACAGUUUGUAGCACUAGACCCAGGCACAUGCACCACAAUUGACAUCCACACUACCUUAUUGCCCCCGCUCGGGUUACAAGCAAUCGCUACUUGCUCAGCGAGUGAGGGGGGGUCAAGACUACCUAUUUAAGGUGGUGUUGUACUCUAUGAGCAGGCGGUCUGGUAUUUACCAACUACAAAUAGUGUCAUGCAUGUGACUUGCUAGUUGACAAUGUCUGUUGUCGAGUUAGAUGUGGGCUAUGGAUGAAGCACAUUAGGAUAUAGUAGGCCUAUUUUGUUUUUUGUUGUUUUUGGGCCACUAUGGACUUUCUGUUGAUGUUGUGAAAUUUUUUCUUGUGUUUCCUCUUCCUACGAUGUGGAAAGUGGGUGCGUCAGAGAAGAAAGAAAGAGUGGCUAGCAUUGAUUUUACGUCAUACCAUUGAGAACACUAAUUAGAAGCAGAAGCAACAAUAUUUCAUACAUAUACAACACUUGUAAUCCAUAUAAACAACUUUCCUUUAAAAUAUAAUAUAAACCACAUGAUUUAUAUCCUGGGUCGGCUAUCUCUACAAAGGGCGAGAAAACGCUCCAAGUUUGUAGUAUAGAACUAAAAGUGUCGAUUCUCAUGAUUUUUCCGACAUAUACAAACUAGACAGUAAUCACAUAAAAUAAAGAAAUAUGUGUUAACACGAACUUAUAGCAUGUAUUUCAACAUACAUAUUGUUGAUUAUUAUGGUAGAUUAUAUAAAAUAGGGGUUCCCGAAGAAAUACAUAAAAACAAGAGCAUUAAAAUUUCCUUUUUAGAUCUGGCUAUCUGGUAAAAGGAGUUGGAGUAACUGAGUUUCCAAAUUUGUGACGUAGCUCUAUAGAAGGAAUAUAAAUACGUUGCAAAAAUUCUACAAGGAAAGGUUAAUACAAGUAGGGCUAAGAAAAACUCAAUUAGGCUUUGGUCGCAUGGUCACAAAACUUGAGACAAGAAACACGAAGACACCAAGGUAAUUAGUAUGAGAGUUUUCGAAAUUUGGUGUCUUGAUGUAGAAAAAAUAAAUAUAUGACAAACUUGUUUUUUCUCAAGGCAUGGAUUGAGAGCACCUAGAGGGGGGGGUGAAUAGGUGAUCCUGUGAAACUUGAAAACUUAAGCCACAAAACUUGGUUAAUCGUUAGCACAAUAAUUGCCAAGUGGCUAAAUAGGAAUCCUCAACAAAAUACAAUAACCAACAAAGAUCAAUCACAGAGAUGACACGGUGGUUAUCCCAUGGUUCGGCCAAGACCAACGCUUGCCUACUCCAUGUUGUGGCGUCCCAACGGACGAGGGUUGCAAUCAACCCCUCUCAAGCGGUCCAAAGACCCACUUGAAUACCACGGUGUUUUGCUUUGCUUAUCUUUAUCCCACUUGCGAGGAAUCUCCACAAAUUGGAGUCUCUCGCCCUUACACUUAAAGUUCACAAAGAAGCACGGAGUAAGGGAGGGAAGCAACACACACAAAUCCACAGCAAAAUGCGCACACACACGGCCAAGAAUCGAGCUCAAAAGACUAUCUCAAAGUUCUCACUAGAACGGAGCUCGAAUCACUGAGAAUGACAAACGAAUGCGCAAAGACUGAGUGUGGAUGAUCAAGAAUGCUCUAAGGUUGCUUGGUUUUUCUCCUCCAUGCGCCUAGGGGUCCCUUUUAUAGCCCCAAGGCGGCUAGGAGCCGUUGAGAACAAAUCUGGAAGGCCAUCCUUGCCUUCUGUCGUCGGGCGCACCGGACAGUCCGGUGCACACCGGACACUGUCCGGUGCCCGAUUUCCUUCCUUAAAUGGCGAAGCCGACCGUUGCAGAUGUGGGAGCCGUUGGCGCACCGGACAUGUCCGGUGCACACCGGACAGUCCGGUGCCCCCUUCCGACCGUUGGCUCGGCCACGUGUCGCGCGCGGAUUCCGUGGCCGACCGUUGGCCCGGCCGACCGUUGGCUCACCGGACAGUCCGGUGCACACCGGACAGUCCGGUGAAUUUUAGGCGUACGUCGCCGGUGAAUUCCCGAGAGCGGCCAGUUCGCUCGAGCCAGCCUGGCGCACCGGACACAGUCCGGUGCACCACCGGACAGUCCGGUGCCCCAGACCGAAACAGCCUCUUGGCUGUACACAGCCAACUCUUCUCUUUCCUUCUUCUUUUUGUUUCUGAUACUUAGACAAGUAUAUUAGUACACAAAACCAAUGUACUAAGACUUAGAAACAUACCUUUGCUCUUGAUUUGCACUUUGUCCAUUCAUGGGCAUAGAUUUACAUUUAAUUACUUGUGUUGGCACUCAAUCACCAAAAUACUUAGAAAUGGCCCAAGGGCACAUUUCCCUUUCAAUCUCCCCCUUUUUGGUGAUUUAUGCCAACACAACAUAAAGCAACUAGAACAAGUGCAAUAUUACUUCAAAUAAAAACUCAAAUUCAUUUUGAUUCAAUUUGGCAUAUAUGGAUCAUCCUUUGCCACCACUUGGUUUGUUUUUGCAAAUCAAACUCAAAAUCCUAUCUCUAAGUCAAAUCCACUUGUAGAGACAUAAAGAGAGGUUUUCCAUAGAAGAUUGAUUCAAGAUUCCAAAAACUCCCCCUUUUUCCCAUAAUCAACACUUCACCCCACAAGAGGCCAACUUUUGAUAAAAGAGACAAUGCAAGAGUAUUGACAAACCAAAAGCUCUAUCCUACUGUUUUCAAAGUUUCUCAAGUGGUAGCUGAUCCAUUUAUUGCUUUGGCCUUUAUUUUCUCCCCCUUUGGCGUCAAGCACCAAAACGGGAUCAAUCUUGGCCCUUUAACCCCAUUGCCUCACCAAAAUCUUCAAUUAAGAGCAAAUAGGCAAUAAGAGUUAAAAGAUGAACUUGGAAAAGUUACUCUUUUCAUCGGAGUGCAGUGGAAGUCUUGCAUGGUCCAAGUCCACCUUUUCCCUUUUAAUUCUCCUUCGAGACUAAAACAAGCAAACUCAAGCAUAUGGUUAGUCUCAAAGGGUCAAGUUGUAACACAUCUCCCCCUAAAACUGUGCAUCACUUUGCAACGGACUUGUGAGGUCCAGGGAGUGUUUGUACAACUUGAGCACCAUACUAAACAACAAAAUGCAAAAAGGAUCAUGAUCAAAAGCAUAAAUACAUGUAUGCUACAAUUCAAUCCAAGUUCCGCGAAUCUACGACAUUUAGCUCACUACGCAGCCUGCAAAAGGUCUUCUCAUCUAGAGGCUUGGUAAAGAUAUCGGCUAGCUGGUUCUCGGUGCUAACAUGAAACACUUCGAUAUCUCCCUUUUGCUGGUGAUCUCUCAAAAAGUGAUGCCGGAUGUCAAUGUGCUUUGUGCGGCUGUGUUCAACAGGAUUUUCCGCCAUGCGGAUAGCACUCUCAUUGUCACAUAGGAGUGGGACUUUGCUCAGAUUGUAGCCAAAGUCCCUGAGGGUUUGCCUCAUCCAAAGUAGUUGCGCGCAACACUGUCCUGCGGCAACAUACUCGGCCUCAGCGGUGGAUAGGGCAACGGAGGUUUGUUUCUUAGAGUUCCACGACACCAGGGACCUUCCUAAGAAUUGGCACGUCCCUGAUGUACUCUUCCUAUCGACCUUACAUCCAGCAUAGUCGGAAUCUGAGUUUCCAACCAAGUCAAAGGUAGACCCCUUUGGAUACCAGAGCCCGAAGCAAGGCGUAGCAACCAAAUAUCUAAGAAUUCGCUUCACCGCCACUAAGUGACACUCCUUAGGAUUGGAUUGAAAUCUAGCACACAUGCAUACGCUAAGCAUAAUAUCCGGUCUACUAGCACAUAAAUAAAGUAAAGACCCUAUCAUUGACCGGUAUGCUUUUUGAUCAACGGACUUACCUCCUUUGUUGAGGUCGGUGUGUCCGUCGGUCCCCAUCGGAGUCUUUGCGGGCUUGGCGUCCUUCAUCCCAAACCGCUUCAGCAGGUCUUGCGUGUACUUUGUUUGGGAGAUGAAGGUGCCGUCCUUGAGUUGCUUCACUUGAAACCCAAGGAAGUAGUUCAACUCGCCCAUCAUCGACAUCUCGAAUUUCUGCAUCAUAACCCUGCUAAACUCUUCACAAGACUUUUGGUUAGUAGAACCAAAUAUUAUGUCAUCGACAUAAAUUUGGCACACAAACAAAUCACCAUCACAUGUCUUAGUAAAAAGAGUUGGAUCGGCUUUCCCAACCUUGAAGGCAUUUGCAAUUAAAAAGUCUUUAAGGCAUUCAUACCAUGCUCUUGGGGCUUGCUUAAGUCCAUAGAGCGCCUUAGAGAGCUUACACACGUGGUCGGGGUACCGUUCAUCCUCGAAGCCAGGGGGUUGCUCUACGUACACCUCCUCCUUGAUUGGCCCGUUGAGGAAAGCGCUCUUCACAUCCAUUUGGAACAACCUGAAAGAAUGGUGAGCGACAUAUGCUAGCAAGAUACGAAUUGAUUCUAGCCUAGCCACAGGAGCAAACGUCUCCUCAAAGUCCAAACCUGCGACUUGGGCAUAACCUUUUGCCACAAGUCGAGCCUUGUUCCUCGUCACCACCCCGUGCUCGUCCUGUUUGUUGCGGAAUACCCACUUGGUUCCCACAACGUUUUGCUUGGGACGAGGCACCAGUGUCCAAACUUCAUUUCGCUUGAAGUUGUUGAGUUCCUCCUGCAUGGCUAACACCCAGUCCGGAUCUAGCAAGGCCUCUUCUACCCUGAAAGGCUCAAUAGAAGAGACAAAGGAGUAAUGCUCACAAAAAUUAACUAAUCGAGAUCGAGUAGUUACUCCCUUGCUAAUAUCACCCAGAAUUUGGUCGACGGGAUGAUCCCUUUGAAUCAUCGCUCGAACUUGGGUUGGAGGUGCCGGUUGUGCUUCUUCCUCCAUCACAUGAUCAUCUUGUGCUCCCCAUUGAUCACACUCCUCUUGAUGAACCUGUUCAUCGUUUUGAGUUGGGGGAUGCAUCAUUGUUGAGGAAGAAGGUUGAUCUUGCUCCAAUUGUUCCUGUGGUCGCACAUCACCAAUCGCCAUGGUGCGCAUAGCGGCCGUUGGAACGUCUUCUUCAUCUAAAUCAUCAAGAUCAACAACUUGCUCUCUUGGAGAGCCAUUAGUCUCAUCAAAUACAACGUCGCUAGAGACUUCAACCAAACCCGAUGAUUUGUUGAAGACUCUAUACGCCUUUGUAUUUGACUCAUAACCUAACAAAAACCCUUCUACAGCUUUGGGAGCAAACUUAGAAUUUCUACCCUUCUUUACUAGAAUGUAGCACUUGCUCCCAAAUACACGAAAGUAAGAUACAUUGGGUUUGUUACCGGUUAGUAGCUCAUACGAAGUCUUCUUGAGGAGGCGAUGAAGGUAGACCCUGUUGAUGGCGUGGCAAGCCAUGUUCACGGCUUCCGACUAGAAACACUCGGGGGUCUUGAAUUCUCCAAGCAUCGUCCUCGCCAUAUCGAUUAGUGUCCUGUUCUUCCUCUCUACCACACCAUUUUGCUGUGGUGUGUAGGGAGCGGAGAACUCGUGCUUGAUCCCUUCCUCCUCAAGGAACUCCUCCACUUGAAGAUUCUUGAAAUCGGACCCGUUGUCGCUCCUUAUCUUCUUCACCUUGAGCUCAAACUCAUUUUGAGCUCUCCUAAGGAAGCGCUUGAGGGUCCCUUGGGUUUCAGACUUAUCCUGCAAAAAGAACACCCAAGUGAAGCGGGAAAAGUCAUCGACAAUAACUAGACCAUACUUACUUCCCCCUAUGCUCAGAUAGGCGACGGGUCCGAAGAGGUCCAUAUGCAGCAGCUCCAGGGGUCUUGAAGUGGUCAUCACAUUCUUGCUGUGAUGCGCUCCUCCCACUUGUUUACCUGCUUGACAAGCUGCACAAGGUCUAUCUUUUUCGAAUUGUACGUUAGUCAAACCUAUCACGUGUUCUCCCUUUAGAAGCUUGUGAAGGUUCUUCAUCCCCACAUGUGCUAAGCGGCGAUGCCACAGCCAGCCCAUGCUAGUCUUAGCAAUUAAGCAUGCAUCUAGACCGGCCUCUUCUUUUGCAAAAUCAACUAAGUAAAGCUUGCCGUCUAAUACACCCUUAAAAGCUAGUGAACCAUCACUUCUUCUAAAGACAGACACAUCUACAUUUGUAAAUAGACAGUUAUAUCCCAUAUUGCAUAAUUGACUAACAGAUAACAAAUUAUAUCCAAGAGACUCUACUAAAAACACAUUAGAGAUAGAGUGCUCAUUAGAAAUUGCAAUUUUACCUAACCCUUUUACCUUGCCUUGAUUCCCAUCACCGAAUAUAAUUGAAUCUUGGGAAUCCUUAUUCUUGACGUAGGAGGUGAACAUCUUCUUCUCCCCCGUCAUAUGGUUUGUGCAUCCGCUGUCGAUAAUCCAGCUUGAACCCCCGGAUGCAUAAACCUGCAAGGCAAAUUUAGGCUUGGGACUUAGGUACCCAACUCUUGUUGGGUCCUACAAGGUUAGUCACAAUUUCCUUAGGGAUCCAAAUGCAAGUUUUAUCACCCUUGCAUUUUGCCCCUAACUUCCUAGCAAUCACCUUUCUAUCCUUUCUACAAAUUGCAAAGGAAGCAUUCAAAGCAUGAUAUAUUGUAGAAGGCUCAUUAACUUUCCUAGGCACAUUAACAACAUUUCUCCUAGGCAUAUUAUGAACAACAUUUCUCCUACCAACGUUCCUAUCAUGCUCAUAGAAAGAACUAGAAGCAACCAUGUCAUGAUAAACAUAUGAAUCAAAAACAUUAUAACUUCUAUUUGCAUUUCUAGUAUGUCUCCUAUCAUGAUACAUAAAAGCAUGGUUCUUUUUAGCACUACCAGCCAUAGGGGCCUUCCCUUUCUCCUUGGCGGAAAUGGGAGCCUUAUGGCUUGUUAAGUUCUUGGCUUCCCUCUUGAAGCCAAGUCCAUCCUUAAUUGAGGGAUGUCUACCAAUCGUAUAGGCAUCCCUUGCAAAUUUUAAUUUAUCAAAUUCGCUUUUGCUAGUCUUAAGUUGGGCAUUAAGACUAGCCACUUCAUCAUUCAAUUUAGAAAUUGAAACUAGGUGUUCACUACAAGCAUCAACAUUAAAAUCUUUACACCUAGUGCAAACCAUAACAUGUUCUACACAAGAGUUAGAUUUACUAGCCACUUCUAGUUUAGCAUUUAAAUCAUUAUUAACACCUUUUAAAGUAGCAAUGGUUUCAUGACAAGAAGAUAAUUCACUAGAAAGCACUUCAUUUCUUUUAACUUCUAAAGCAUAAGAUUUUUGUGCCUCUACAAAUUUGUCAUGCUCUUCAUAUAAAAGAUCCUCUUGUUUUUCUAAGAGUCUAUCCUUUUCAUUCAAGGCAUCAAUCAAUUCAUUAAUCUUUUCUACUUUAGUUCUAUCCAAUCCCUUGAACAAACUAGAGUAAUCUAUUUCUUCAUCACUGGACUCAUCAUCACUAGAAGAAUCAUAAGUGACAUUGUUUUGAUUGCAUACCUUCUUCUCCCUUGCCAUAAGGCAUGUGUGACGCUCGUUGGGGAAGAGGGAUGACUUGUUGAAGGCGGUGGCGGCGAGUCCUUCAUUGUCGGAGUCGGAGGAGAAGCAAUCUGAAUCCCACUCCUUUCCGAUAUGUGCCUCGCCCUUGGCCUUCUUGUAAUGCUUCUUCUUCUCCCUUUUGUUCCCCUUUUCCUGGUCACUUUCAUUAUCGGGACAGUUAGCAAUGAAAUGACCAAUCUUACCGCAUUUGAAGCACGAGCGCUUCUCCUUUGUCUUGGUCUUGCUUGGCUGUCCCUUGCGACCUUUAAGCGCCGUCUUGAAGCGCUUAAUGAUGAGGGCCAUCUCCUCAUUAUUUAGCCCGGCCGCCUCAACUUGCGCCACCUUGCUCGGUAGCGCCUCCUUGCUCCUCGUUGCCUUGAGAGCAAUGGGUUGAGGCUCAUGAAUAGGACCGUUCAACGCGUCGUCCACAUAUCUUGCCUCCUUGAUCAUCAUUCGCCCGCUUACGAACUUCCCCAGAACUUCUUCGGGCGACAUCUUGGUGUACCUAGGAUUUUCACGAAUAUUGUUCACCAAAUGAGGAUCAAGAACGGUAAAGGACCUUAGCAUUAGGCGGACGACGUCGUGAUCCGUCCAUCGCGUGCUUCCGUAGCUCCUUAUUUUGUUGAUAAGGGUCUUGAGCCGGUUGUAUGUUUGAGUUGGCUCCUCGCCCCUUAUCAUUGCGAACCGUCCAAGCUCGCCCUCCACCAACUCCAUCUUGGUGAGUAAGGUGACAUCGUUCCCCUCAUGAGAGAUCUUGAGGGUGUCCCAGAUCUGCUUGGCAUUGUCCAAGCCGCUCACCUUAUGGUACUCGUCCCUGCACAAAGAGGCUAGCAACACAGUAGUAGCUUGUGCAUUUUUAUGAAUCUGUUCAUUAAUAAACAUGGGACUAUCCGUACUAUCAAAGUGCAUUCCACUUUCUACAAUCUCCCAUAUGCUAGGAUGGAGAGAGAACAAGUGACUACGCAUUUUGUGACUCCAAAAUCCGUAGUCCUCUCCAUCAAAAUGAGGAGGUUUACUAAGUGGAAUAGAUAAUAACUGAGCAUUAGUACUUUGAGGAAUACGAGAGUAAUCAAAAGAAAAGUACGAAUUGACCGGUUUCUUUCUCUCGUAUUCGUUGUGGUCGUCGUCCUUUUGGGAGGAAGUAGACUCAUCGCUGUCGUAGUAGACGAUCUCCUUGAUGUGUCUUGUCUUCUUCUUCUUCCCAUCUUUGCGUCUGUGGCCCGAGCCCGAGUCGUUGGACUUGUCAUCCCUUGGCUCGUUGACGAAGGACUCCUUCUCCUUGUCGUUGAUCACGAUUCCCUUCCCUUUAGGAUCCAUCUCUUCGGGCGGUUAGUCCCUUUGUGAAGAGAACGGCUCUGAUACCAAUUGAGAGCACCUAGAGGGGGGGUGAAUAGGUGAUCCUGUGAAACUUGAAAACUUAAGCCACAAAACUUGGUUAAUCGUUAGCACAAUAAUUGCCAAGUGGCUAAAUAGGAAUCCUCAACAAAAUACAAUAACCAACAAAGAUCAAUCACAGAGAUGACACGGUGGUUAUCCCGUGGUUCGGCCAAGACCAACGCUUGCCUACUCCACGUUGUGGCGUCCCAACGGACGAGGGUUGCAAUCAACCCCUCUCAAGCGGUCCAAAGACCCACUUGAAUACCACGGUGUUUUGCUUUGCUUAUCUUUAUCCCACUUGCGAGGAAUCUCCACAAAUUGGAGUCUCUCGCCCUUACACUUAAAGUUCACAAAGAAGCACGGAGUAAGGGAGGGAAGCAACACACACAAAUCCACAGCAAAAUGCGCACACACACGGCCAAGAAUCGAGCUCAAAAGACUAUCUCAAAGUUCUCACUAGAACGGAGCUCGAAUCACUGAGAAUGACAAACGAAUGCGCAAAGACUGAGUGUGGAUGAUCAAGAAUGCUCUAAGGUUGCUUGGUUUUUCUCCUCCAUGCGCCUAGGGGUCCCUUUUAUAGCCCCAAGGCGGCUAGGAGCCGUUGAGAACAAAUCUGGAAGGCCAUCCUUGCCUUCUGUCGUCGGGCGCACCGGACAGUCCGGUGCACACCGGACACUGUCCGGUGCCCGAUUUCCUUCCUUAAAUGGCGAAGCCGACCGUUGCAGAUGUGGGAGCCGUUGGCGCACCGGACAUGUCCGGUGCACACCAGACAGUCCGGUGCCCCCUUCCGACCGUUGGCUCGGCCACGUGUCGCGCGCGGAUUCCGCGGCCGACCGUUGGCCCGGCCGACCGUUGGCUCACCGGACAGUCCGGUGCACACCGGACAGUCCGGUGAAUUUUAGGCGUACGUCGCCGGUGAAUUCCCGAGAGCGGCCAGUUCGCUCGAGCCAGCAUGGCGCACCGGACACUGUCCGAUGCACCACCGGACAGUCCGGUGCCCCAGACCGAAACAGCCUCUUGGCUGUACACAGCCAACUCUUCUCUUUCCUUCUUCUUUCUGUUUCUGAUACUUAGACAAGUAUAUUAGUACACAAAACCAAUGUACUAAGACUUAGAAACAUACCUUUGCUCUUGAUUUGCACUUUGUCCAUUCAUGGGCAUAGAUUUACAUUUAAGCACUUGUGUUGGCACUCAAUCACCAAAAUACUUAGAAAUGGCCCAAGGGCACAUUUCCCUUUCAUGGAUAAAUAAGUGGGGGUGAGCAAUAAAUUUCAUCCUAGAUUUAGAAGGAAUAAAUAUAUCACUAAAUACGUUUUUUUUUACAAUGGCAAGUUAAUCAGGUGGGAGCGAGAAACAAUUCUAGCGAGGCUAGGUUGUACUAGCCCAAAAUUACAUACAACAGAGGAAAAAUGAAGAAAAUGAUGGUCUACCAAAUAUGGCGCAUGAGCCUUAAGGUGCACCUAGAGGGAAGUAGAAGAAUAAAUAUAUAAUAGCAUAUGUUUUUCGCAAUGCAAGGUAAAGUGUAGAUGUGCUCUAACUGGGCUUAGAUUGCAGCGACACAUUAUGCAUCUACAAGGCUUGGUUGCACAUGGAAAAAGAUAGAGAGAGAAAUGUAGACGCAGGACCGGGAGAAAACAUUCAAUGAGACGUGAUUGCACGGACAUAGAACUAGAUAUAAGACAAGAGUUAAAGAAAAAAAGGAACUAAAUUUUCUUGUGCACACUAAGCAUGAAUGGAGUUGUAGUAUCUGAGAUCAAAAUUUAAUUUAUUCCAAGAUGCAGAACAAAAACGUGAUAUUCGUAAUGGUUACAUAGGAACAAAAGUAGAUAAGAAAAAUAGCAAAAAGAUAGUGGUCUACCAGAGAGGGCACAUGUGCCUCAAUUGGCCUAUAGCAUAGUGGCUCAUUAUCCUUCCACCGCUGGUGGCGGGCGGUACUCGCUGCUCUGUGAAGCCAGCCUCACGCAAUGUCCGCCACUUUAGGUGUUGGGAUGCAAAGGCUUUCGCCAAGGCAUCCGAAACCCACUACACAACUUGGAAUGGGUGGUCCACAAUUUGUAGCACUAGACCCAUACACAUGCACCACAAUUGAUAUCCACACUACCUUAUUGCCCCCGCUCGGGUUACAAGCAAUCGCUACUUGCUCAGCGAGUGAGGGGGUUCAGGACUACCUAUUUAAGGUGGUGUUGUACUCUAUGAGCCGGCGAUGUGGUAUUUACCAACUACAAAUAGUGUCAUGCAUGUGACUUGCUAGUUGACAAAGUCUGUUGUCGAGCUAGAUGUAGGCUAUGGAUGAAGCACAUUACGAUAUAGUAGGCCUAUUUUGUUUUUUGUUGUUUUUGGGCCACUAUGGACUUUAUGUUGAUGUUGUGAAAUUUUUUCUUGUGUUUCCUCUUCCUACGAUGUCGAAAGUGGGUGCGUCAGAGAAGAAAGAAAGUGUGGGUUGCAUUGAUUUUACGUCAUACCAUUGAGAACACUAAUCAGAACCAGAAGCAACAAUAUUUCAUACAUAUACAACACUUGUAAUCCAUAUAAACAACUUUCCUUUAAAAUAUCAUAUAAACCACAUGAUUUAUAUCCUGGGUCGGUUAUCUCCACAAAGGGCAAGAAAACGCUCCAAGUUUGUAGUAUAGAACUAAAAGUGUCGACUCUCACGAUUUCUUCCCGACAUAUGCAAACUAGACAAUAAUCACAUAAAAUAAAGAAAUAUGUGUUAACACAAACUUAUAGCAUGUAUUUCAACAUAUAGAUUUUUUAUUAUUAUGGUAGAUUAUAUAAUAUAGGGGUUCCCGAAGAAAUACAUAAAAAACAAGAGCAUUAAAAUUUCCUUUUCAGAUCUGGCUAACUGGUAAAGGGAGUUGGAGUAUCUGAGUUUCCAAAUUUGGGACGUCGCUCUAUAGAAGGAAUAUAAAUACAUUGGAAAAAAAUUCUACAAGGAAAGGUUUAAUACAAGUAGGGCUAAGAAAAACUCAAUGAGGCUUUGGUCGCAUGGUCACAAGACUUGAGACAAGAAACACGAAGACACCAAGGUAAUUAGUAUGAGAGUUUUCCAAAUUUGGUGUCUUGAUGUAGAAAAAAUAAAUAUAUGACAAACAUGUAUUUUCGCAAGGCAUGGUAAAAUAAGUGGGAGUGAGCAAUAAAUUUCAUCCUAGAUUUAGAAGGAACAAAUAUAUCACUAAAUACAUUUUUUCACAAUGCCAAGUUAACCAGGCGGGACCGAGAAACAAUUCUAGCAAGGCUAGGUUGUACUAGUCCGAAACUACGUACAACAAAGGAAAAAUGAAGAAAAUGAUGGUCUACCAAAUAUGGCGCAUGAGCCUUAAGGUGCACCUAGAGGGAAGUAGAAGAAAUAAAUAUAUAAUAGGAUAUGUUUUUCGCAAUGCAAGGUAAAAUGUAGAUGUGCUCUAACUGGGCUUAGAUUGCAGCGAUACAUUAUGCAUCCACAAGGCUUGGUUGCACAUGGAAAAAGAUAGAGAGAGAAAUGUAGACGUAGGACCAGGAGAAAAACAUUCAAUGAUACAUUAUUGCACGGACAUAGAACUAGAUAUAAGACAAGAGUUAAAGAAACAUAAAGGAACUAAAUUUUCUUUUGCAUACUAAGCAUGAAUGGAGUUGUAGUAUCUGAUAUAAAAAAUUAAUUUAUUCCAAGAUGCAGAACAAAAUUGUGAUACUCGUAAUGGUUACAUAGGAACAAAAGUAGAUAAGAAAAAUAGCAAAACGAUAGUAGUCUACCAGAGAGGGCACAUGUGCCUCAAUUGGCCUAUAGCAUAGCGGCUCAUUAUCCUUCCACCGCUGGUGGCGUGCGGUACUCGCUGCUCUGUGAAGCCAGCCUCACGCAAUGUCUGCCACUUUAGGUGUUGGGAUGCAAAGGCUUUCGCCAAGGCACCCGAAACCCACUACACAACUUGGAAUGGGUGGUCCACAGUUUGUAGCACUAGACCUAGGCACAUGCACCACAAUUGACAUCCACACUACCUUAUUGCCCCCGCUCGGGUUACAAGCAAUCGCUACAUGCUCAGCGAGUGAGGGGGUUCAGGACUACCUAUUUAAGAUGGUGUUGUACUCUAUGAGCCGGCGGUGUGGUAUUUACCAACUACAAAUAGUGUCAUGCAUGUGACUUGCUAGUUGACAAAGUCUGUUGUCGAGCUAGAUAUGGGCUAUGGCUGAAGCACAUUAGGAUAUAGUAGGCCUAUUUUUGUUUUUGUUGUUUUUGGGCCACUAUGGACUUUAUGUUGGUGUUGUAAAAUUUUUUCUUGUGUUUCCUCUUCCUAUGAAGUGGAAAGUGGCUGCGUCAUAGAAGAAAGAAAGAGUGGCAAGCAUUGAUUUUACGUCAUCCCAUUGAGACCAGUAACCAAAAGCAGAAGCAACAAUAUUUCAUACAUAUACAACAAUUGUAAUCCAUAUAAACAACUUUCCUUUAAAAUAUAAUAUAAACCACAUGCUUUAUAUCCUGGGUCGGAUAUCCCCAUAAUAGGAUAUGUUUUUUGCAAUGCAAGGUAAAGUGUAGAUGUGCUCUAACUGGGCUUAGAUUGCAGCGACACGUUAUGCAUCCACAAGGCUUGGUUGCACAUGGAAAAAGAUAGAGAGAGAAAUGUAGACACAGGACGAGGAGAAAAACAUUCAACGAGACGUGAUUGCACGGAUAUAGAACUAGAUAUAAGACAAGAGUUAAAUACAAAUAAAUGAACUAAAUUUUCUUUUGCACACUAAGCUUGAAUGGAGUUGUAGUAUCUCAUAUCAAAAUUUAAUUUAUUCCAAGAUACAGAACAAAAAUGUGAUACUCCUAAUGGUUACAUAGGAACAAAAGUAGAUAAGAAAAUUAGCAAAAAGAUAGUGGUCUACCAGAGAGGGCACAUGUGCCUCAAUUGGCCUAUAGCAUAGCGGCUCAUUAUCCUUCCACCGCUGGUGGCGGGCGGUACUCGCUGCUCUGUGAAGCCAGCCUCACGCAGUGUCCGCCACUUUAGGUGUUGGGAUGCAAAGGCUUUCGCCAACGCACCCGAAACCCACUACACAAGUUGGAAUGGGUGGUCCACAGUUUGUAGCACUAGACCCAGGCACAUGCACCACAAUUGACAUCCACACUACCUUAUUGCCCCCGCUCGGGUUACAAGCAAUCGCUACUUGCUCAGCGAGUGAGGGGGUUCAGGACUACCUAUUUAUGGUGGUGUUGUACUCUAUGAGCCGGCGGUGUGGUAUUUACCAACUACAAAUAGUGUCAUGCAUGUGACUUGCUAGUUGACAAAGUCUGUUGUCGAGCUAGAUGUGGGCUAUGGAUGAAGCACAUUACGAUAUAGUAGGCCUAUUUUGUUUUUUGUUGUUUUUGGGCCAAUAUGGACUUUAUGUUGAUGUUGUGAAAUUUUUUCUUGUGUUUUCUCUUCCUACGAUGUGGAAAGUGGGUGCGUCAGAGAAGAAAGAAAGAGUGGCUAGAAUUGAUUUUACGUCAUACCAUUGAGAACACUACUCAGAAGCAGAAGCAACAAUAUUUCAUACAUAUACAACACUUGUAAUCCAUAUAAACAACUUUCCUUUAAAAUAUAAUAUAAACCACAUGAUUUAUAUCCUGGGUCGGCUAUCUCCACAAAGGGCAAGAAAACGCUCCUAAGUUUGUAGUAUAGAACUAAGAGUAUCGACUCUCACGAUUUCUUCCCGACAUAUGCAAACUAGACAGUAAUAACAUAAAAUAAAGAAAUAUGUGUUAACAUGAACUUAUCACAUGUAUUUCAACAUAUAGAUUGUUGAUUAUUAUGGUAGAUUAUAUAAUAUAGGGGUUCCCGAAGAAAUACAUAAAAAACAAGAGCAUUAAAAUUUCCUUUUCAGAUUUGGCUAACUGGUAAAGGGAGUUGGAGUAUCUGAGUUUCCAAAUUUGGGACGUCGCUCUAUAGAAGGAAUAUAAAUACGUUGGAAAAAUUCUACAAGGAAAGGUUUAAUACAAGUAGGGCUAAGAAAAACUCAAUGAGGCUUUGGUCGCAUGGUCACAAGACUUGAGACAAGAAACACAAAGACACCAAAGUAAUUAGUAUGAGAGUUUUCCAAGUUUGGUGUCUUGAUGUAGAAAAAAUAAAUAUAUGACAAACAUGUUUUUUCGCAAGGCAUGGUAAAGUAAGUGGGAGUGAGCAAUAAAUUUCAUCCUAGAUUUAGAAGGAACAAAUAUAUCACUAAAUACGUUUUUUCACAAUGCCAAGUUAACCAGGCGGGACCGAUAAACAAUUCUAGCAAGACUAGGUUGUACUAGCCAGAAACUACAUACAACAAAGGAAAAAUGAAGAAAAUGAUGGUCUACCAGAUAUGGCGCAUGAGCCUUAAGGUGCACCUAGAGGGAAGUAGAAGAAAUAAAUAUAUAAUAGGAUAUGUUUUUCGCAAUGCAAGGUAAAGUGUAGAUGUGCUCUAACUGGGCUAAGAUUGCAGCGAUACAUUAUGCAUCCACAAGGUUGGCACAUGGAAAAAGAUAGAGAGAGAAAUGUAGACGUAGGACCAGGAGAAGAACAUUCAAUGAGACAUGAUUGCACGGACAUAGAACUAGAUAUAAGACAAGAGUUAAAGAAAAAUAAAGGAACUAAAUUUUCUUUUGCACACUAAGUAUGAAUGGAGUUGUAGUAUCUGAUAUCAAAAAUUAAUUUAUUUCAAGAUGCAGAACAAAAUUGUGAUACUCGUAAUGGUUACAUAGGAACAAAAGUAGAUAAGAAAAAUAGCAAAAAGAUAGUGGUCUACCAGAGAGGGCACAUGUGCCUCAAUUGGCCUAUAGCAUAGCGGCUCAUUAUCCUUCCACCGCUGGUGGCGGGCGAUACACGCUGCUCUAUGAAGCCAGCCUCACGAAAUGUCCGCCACUUUAGGUCUUGGGAUGCAAAGGCUUUCGCCAAGGCACCCGAAACCCACUACACAACUUGGAAUGGGUGGUCCACAGUUUGUAGCACUAGACCCAGGCACAUGCACCACAAUUGACAUCCACACUACCUUAUUGCCCCCGCUCGGGUUACAAGCAAUCGCUACU
RNAcentral lists this long non-coding RNA (19682 nucleotides) under Zea mays. Its description in RNAcentral is "long non-coding RNA (ZMAY_LNC000227)". Lineage: Eukaryota; Viridiplantae; Streptophyta; Magnoliopsida; Poales; Poaceae. The record is from RNAcentral.